This is a long non-coding RNA of Salmo trutta (river trout), 1038 nucleotides long. The record is from Ensembl. NCBI's taxonomy places the organism in Eukaryota, Metazoa, Chordata, Actinopteri, Salmoniformes, Salmonidae.
AUGAUACAUCCUCAUCUAACUCUUUUCCCCUCCCCAGGCCCAGAGCCAAUGAAAAGCUCUGUGUGUAAAGGUGACCCUGACUCAAAACUGAGAGAGAUCUAUAAUCCCGGUGUCCAAUCAGGGGACAGGAGGAAGCGUCCGCUGCGAUCUGACUCUGAGGGUGCUCCCGCGGAAACGCGGCGUCGCCUGGAAGAGCUCCGCCAGAGAGGGCGGAGUGUGUCAGCCUCCUCAGACCUGGGCAGCGAGAGCGAGGGAGAGGCGAGAGCGUGGGAGCAGGGGGGAGACAGCGCGAGGGUCAAACGAGAGGAGGGGCCUUCGAAACGAGGCGGGGAGACCCCCAUGAGGGGCGAGAGGGGCGGCGGGGUGCACAACGGCCGUGCGGUAAUCCAGCACCUGAAGAGUGUAGUGUCCUCGCCUCUCUCUGGCCACGCCAACAUCAAGACUGAACAUGAGGCACUGGCCGCAGGGGGUCGCUGGACACACAUGCACACCUCCUCACACAUACAACCCCCACCCUCACACACACACACACCCUGCGGCAGCCUGAACGGCGACAGUCCCCUCACCCCUAUCCCAGACUCCUCCUCCAGCAGUGAAGCCCCACCCAAUGGUAUUUUCACCCCGCCCUCCCCCGCCAUGUCCCCUCCCAUGUCCGGCUCCUCCCCUCUACCAUGUGAGGAGCGGGGAAUGUUGUCUGGAGGCAGGGGGGGCGGGCCUGACUUUGAGCUGUUGCAUAGACUGGCAGCGGGGGGUGCUGCAGGACGUGUGCUGUUUCACCCCCUGGCCCUCGGCCCCCAGGGGCCACAGAGCCUGUACGCCCCCAGUACCAUCCGCUAUGCGCCCCCAGAGCUGCCCCACUCUCACCCCGGUGCUGAGGGGCUGCGCUCCGACCACCACAAGGGUCCCCCAGCCUUCUUCCCUCACCUCCAGAGGCUGGCCGGCUUGCCCUCCUUCAGUGGGUUCUCCGCCUCGGACAAUCCCUUCAACCCCUUCUGUAUGAACGGACUGAGGGGGGCCGCAGGGUCUGAGGAGGACUGA